Molecule: long non-coding RNA, 3283 nt
Filed under: Lupinus mutabilis
Lineage: Eukaryota; Viridiplantae; Streptophyta; Magnoliopsida; Fabales; Fabaceae
Description: partial ncRNA
Source: RNAcentral
AUAAAAACGGUUAUCAAAGAGCAAAAGAGAACCGAAUUCUUUACCCUAUAUGUUAUGUUCUCUCCAAACACUUUCUCUUCUUCCACCUUUUCUUCCCAUCCCUAUUUUCAACUUCCACCGCCAUGCCCUACCUUCAUAUCCGCCACCUUCCGCCGCCGUAGUCGCCGCAGAAACCGCCGCAACAUACUCUCCUCCCCUACCUCAACCCACUCUGAACCCAAAAUCGAAACCGUUAUCGACCUCACUCGCUUGACCACAUUCCAAACUUCACUCCGUUCCAAUAUUCGCCAAUUCGUUUCUAAUGCUGAAGAUGCUUAUACCGAUUUGCAAACCCUACUUACUCUUGACCAUAACCGAAGGCUCGUCGUUUCAUGUCGCCCUUCCACCUUGAAUUUUCUCGCUACUUCUACUCUCUUCACGUUCCUCUCGUUUACCGCUCUCAGGUUAAUUAUCAAUUUCGGUUCUAGGUUUUUGAAUUGGAGCCGAAACGCGUCUAGCUAUAGUGCUCCUAUGGUUAGGAGGGAUAGGAGUCUCGGCGGGAGAGAGGUUGUUGUUGGAACUGUGAUGGCGAAGAAACCGGCGGCAAAUCCGUUAUCGCCGGCUGAGAGGUCUUUGAGUUUGAGACGAGCUUCGAGAAACAAGGUUGUUGGAGCUUCGAAGAAAUUGCCGAAAUGGUGGCCACAUGUAAUCAAUGGUGCUGUGUUGGAUGUUGAUGAUCAAGAGGAAUAUAAGAGGGAAGCAUACAGAGUAGUUCGAGGUUUGUUUUGUUUUGCUUUGAUUUUGUCUUUCACUUUUAUUUUUAGUUCAAUUCAAUUACAUUGUGUCCUUGAAAAUUAUUCUCAAGUAAGAUAAACGGUAAGGUUGUUGCUUAGUGACCAUGAUGUCACAUGUUCAAAUCCUGGAAACAGUCUCUCCACUUGUAGGAUAAAAAUGCGUACAUCUAUAUUCUCUAUAUCCCACUAAGUGGAAGCCUUGUGCACCGGACUGCCCUUUUAAGAUAGGCUGGUUGAAGACAUAUAGGUCACUCAAAAGCUAAGGGUUCUUUGUCACUGGGAAAUAAUGCUAGCAACAAACACUCUUUGAAUGUUAUAUAGAUUAUUAUAUUAAGUGAUUUUAGUUUUGGAACUAGAGGUAAAGGGAUUUGGCCACUUGACACAAAUAGUAAAGGUUAUGUUAUAGAUACACUACCUUUGAUACAGAGUGGACCUAUGCGACAGUUGUACAUGAAUUAAAUCCAACAACAAUGAGUGUGUUUCUAGCAUUUCUCAUCUCCUAUUUGUAAUCUCACUUUGUAGGUUCAUAUGUACUGUUAAUACAUCUGUAUUGACAAAAUAAAUUACAGUGAGCUUCUUAUUUGUUUUAAAUACACGGACAAGAUGAUGAAAAUAGUGACUCAUUUUAAUGAGGGGAAGAGGGUAAUGAGUAAAGAACAAUUGCAUAAACUGCUUUUGGUUUCUGUUAUUUUUAAUUUGUUACUCACAACUGUGAUGUAGUUUAUUAAUUGUUACGCUUGUGACUGGUGUUUACUUUCCAGUGCCUAGUUAAAUUAUGAUUCUAUUGAUGCACUUUUUUUGUAGGUAAAGAUACACAUUUCAUAAUUUCCAUAUUCUUAUCCAUCCUUUAAUUCAAGUUGCAACUCAUACUUGAUUUCCAGCAAUUGUUGACAGUAGAAUGGCCGGAAAAGACAUCAUAGAGAAUGAUAUAAUUCAGUUACGUCAACUAUGCAGAACUUCUGGUGUGCAAGUAUCGGUUGACCCAACAAAUGUUCGGGAUUCCUUGUAUCGAGCUUCUGUUAACUUUGUCCUAAAUGUUUGCAGCAGGGGACCAACUUCCUCUACUUCAAUUGAUAUUGAUGGUGAGGAUGCUCAGAAAUUCCUUGCUGGAUUUGCUGAAAACACUGGCCUUGAAAAUGUCCGUGCUGCAACAAUGGUAUCUGCAGCUGUUGCUUCUCGCACACGCUCGUGUCUUCUACAGGCUUGGGCUCUGGAAAUGCAAGGCAAACAUAUUGAUGCUAUGGUAGAACUGUCAAAGAUAUGCCUUUUUCUGCGAAUAUUUCCUCCGGAUGAGUCUUCGGUAUGCAUGUCCAAUAUUAAUUUUCAAUUUUUAUGCAUUUUUCCCUGUUAAAUUUAUCCACCUUUCCUCAAUGAAAUUUUUAAUUGGUAUUCUGUAUAGUUUUUCUCAAGUGUGGCAAAGCUUAGUUAUAGUUGCUUCUUUAAUGUUAUUCCUUUUUUACUAUGGCCAUCAUAGCAUUUGUGUGUAUCCUAUAUUAUUGUUAUCAUGCUGUCUUUGUUUUCACUGAAUUUAAAUUCAGUUGUAACUCUUAAUGCUGGGAUGAGUGAAGGAUGAAUAAUUUGUGGGGAGAAUUCAAGAUGAGAAAGCAAGUACCAAAUAACCACUCAUUGUACUUAUUCAUUUUAAAUUUUGAAUAUUGCUUAUCAUACCUAACUUCAUUAAAAAUAAAAGAGGGGAGGUACGGGAAAGACCAUGAUCAGAAAUCCCCAAAAGUAGCGAAAACAAUACUUAUUGGAUAACAAAAGGUGGCCAAAUGCACGAGGCUUCCACAUAGUGGGUAUGGGAAUGGUAAAUGGCAGCCUUACCCUGCCCAAACAAAUCCGCCCAAUCCUUUGUCUGAAAUGGCAACUCACGUGAAAUAAGCUGCAGGAAGUGGAGAACAACAUGGGGAGGCUAUGUGCACAACCUUAUCUCACAGUUGUUCAAUCCUAUGAAGGACUGUUGACUGCAAUGUUGUGUUGAACAUUAAAAAAUAUCUGAAAGGGAGUGUCUGUAUGUGGUUUUAUGUAGAAAUCAUUGUCUGAUGCACCAUAUAAUUUAUGUAUGCACUUAUUUUUCUCUAAUAGCUCUUAUUAUGGGUGUUUCUUUGAAGCCUGAAAUGGAGAUGGUUGGCCGGGGCCUAGAGAAACACUUGAAACUGGAACAAAGAGAACACCUUAUGUUUCUUUUUGGUAAAGUCUGUGGCGAGGACAGUCAAACAAUUGCAAGAGAAGCCCUUGGUUUGACUUAUUCUGAAUACAAUGAUCAACUUGAAGACAACUUUGCGUGAAAGAUUCACUCUGCCUGCAUACUUCUUCAAAAUGAAUAAUAAUUCAAUAAUAACUAUCCCUACAGACUGCAUUCUUUUAGAAGACUUGGUUUAAAGUUUUAAGUUGUUUAGCUAUAUACAUGUUUGUUCAAUGAUAUUUUCAUUGUUUAUUUAAGCAAUGUAUAUUAUUAGAGGUUAUUAUUACCCAAAAGGUCUCUCAUUCUAUAACAUUAAUUAUUUAAC